RNAcentral lists this ribosomal RNA (1192 nucleotides) under Levilactobacillus brevis. RNAcentral's name for it is "bacterial SSU rRNA". It matches the Rfam family "Bacterial small subunit ribosomal RNA", at positions 83 to 1262 of the family's 1533-position model. Lineage: Bacteria; Bacillati; Bacillota; Bacilli; Lactobacillales; Lactobacillaceae. The record is from RNAcentral.
ACAAUGAAGCGAGUGGCGAACUGGUGAGUAACACGUGGGGAAUCUGCCCAGAAGCAGGGGAUAACACUUGGAAACAGGUGCUAAUACCGUAUAACAACAAAAUCCGCAUGGAUUUUGUUUGAAAGGUGGCUUCGGCUAUCACUUNUGGAUGAUCCCGCGGCGUAUUAGUUAGUUGGUGAGGUAAAGGCCCACCAAGACGAUGAUACGUAGCCGACCUGAGAGGGUAAUCGGCCACAUUGGGACUGAGACACGGCCCAAACUCCUACGGGAGGCAGCAGUAGGGAAUCUUCCACAAUGGACGAAAGUCUGAUGGAGCAAUGCCGCGUGAGUGAAGAAGGGUUUCGGCUCGUAAAACUCUGUUGUUAAAGAAGAACACCUUUGAGAGUAACUGUUCAAGGGUUGACGGUAUUUAACCAGAAAGCCACGGCUAANUACGUGCCAGCAGCCGCGGUAAUACGUAGGUGGCAAGCGUUGUCCGGAUUUAUUGGGCGUAAAGCGAGCGCAGGCGGUUUUUUAAGUCUGAUGUGAAAGCCUUCGGCUUAACCGGAGAAGUGCAUCGGAAACUGGGAGACUUGAGUGCAGAAGAGGACAGUGGAACUCCAUGUGUAGCGGUGGAAUGCGUAGAUAUAUGGAAGAACACCAGUGGCGAAGGCGGCUGUCUAGUCUGUAACUGACGCUGAGGCUCGAAAGCAUGGGUAGCGAACAGGAUUAGAUACCCUGGUAGUCCAUGCCGUAAACGAUGAGUGCUAAGUGUUGGAGGGUUUCCGCCCUUCAGUGCUGCAGCUAACGCAUUAAGCACUCCGCCUGGGGAGUACGACCGCAAGGUUGAAACUCAAAGGAAUUGACGGGGGCCCGCACAAGCGGUGGAGCAUGUGGUUUAAUUCGAAGCUACGCGAAGAACCUUACCAGGUCUUGACAUCUUCUGCCAAUCUUAGAGAUAAGACGUUCCCUUCGGGGACAGAAUGACAGGUGGUGCAUGGUUGUCGUCAGCUCGUGUCGUGAGAUGUUGGGUUAAGUCCCGCAACGAGCGCAACCCUUAUUAUCAGUUGCCAGCAUUCANUUGGGCACUCUGGUGAGACUGCCGGUGACAAACCGGAGGAAGGUGGGGAUGACGUCAAAUCAUCAUGCCCCUUAUGACCUGGGCUACACACGUGCUACAAUGGACGGUACAACGAGUUGCNAAGUCGUGAGG